This 446-nucleotide ribosomal RNA is filed under the name uncultured marine bacterium. RNAcentral's name for it is "bacterial SSU rRNA". It matches the Rfam family "Bacterial small subunit ribosomal RNA", at positions 360 to 805 of the family's 1533-position model. The record is from RNAcentral.
AAUAUUGCACAAUGGGCGAAAGCCUGAUGCAGCAAUGCCGCGUGUGUGAAGAAGGCCUGCGGGUUGUAAAGCACUUUCAAUAGGGAAGAAAAGCUUAGGGUUAAUAACCUUAAGUCUUGACAUUAUCUAUACAAGAAGCACCGGCUAACUCCGUGCCAGCAGCCGCGGUAAUACGGAGGGUGCGAGCGUUAAUUGGAAUUACUGGGGGUAAAGCGGGCGUAGGGGGUAAGGUCAGUCGGAUGUGAAAGCCCCGGGCUUAACCGGGGAACUGCAUUCGAUACUGCCUUGCUAGGGUAUGGUAGAGGGAAGUGGAAUUCCGGGUUAGCGGGGAAAAGCGUAGAUAUCCGGAGGGAAACCAGGGGGGAAGGGGACUUCGGGGACAAUACAGACCGUGGAGGCGAAAGCGUUGGAAGCCCAGGAAUUAACCCCGUUAUUCUCCACCCUUA